RNAcentral lists this small nuclear RNA (104 nucleotides) under Nicotiana sylvestris (wood tobacco). Lineage: Eukaryota; Viridiplantae; Streptophyta; Magnoliopsida; Solanales; Solanaceae. The record is from RNAcentral.
GUCGCCCCUUCAGAGACAUCGAUAAAAUUGGAAAAAUACAAAGAAUAUUAGCAUAACUUGUGUACAAGAAUGAUACACACAAAUCAAGAAUGGUCCAAAUUAAA